GCAGUCGAACGAGACUUUUUAUUUGAUGCUUGCAUCUUUUAAAAAGUUGAGUGGCGAACGGGUGAGUAACACGUGGGUAACCUGCCUUAAAGUGGGGGAUAACACUUGGAAACAGGUGCUAAUACCGCAUAACCAUCAAAACCGCCUGGUUUUGAUGUUAAAGAUGGUUCUGCUAUCGCUUUAAGAUGGACCCGCGGCGUAUUAGCUAGUUGGUGAGGUAACGGCUUACCAAGGCAAUGAUACGUAGCCGAACUGAGAGGUUGAUCGGCCACAUUGGGACUGAGACACGGCCCAAACUCCUACGGGAGGCAGCAGUAGGGAAUCUUCCACAAUGGACGAAAGUCUGAUGGAGCAACGCCGCGUGAGUGAAGAAGGUUUUCGGAUCGUAAAACUCUGUUGUCAGAGAAGAACGUGUGUGAGAGUAACUGUUCACGCAGUGACGGUAUCUGACCAGAAAGUCACGGCUAACUACGUGCCAGCAGCCGCGGUAAUACGUAGGUGGCAAGCGUUGUCCGGAUUUAUUGGGCGUAAAGGGAACGCAGGCGGUCUUUUAAGUCUGAUGUGAAAGCCUUCGGCUUAACCGAAGUCGGGCAUUGGAAACUGGGAGACUUGAGUGCAGAAGAGGAGAGUGGAACUCCAUGUGUAGCGGUGA
This 652-nucleotide ribosomal RNA is filed under the name Lactobacillus sp. JCM 8633. RNAcentral's name for it is "bacterial SSU rRNA". It matches the Rfam family "Bacterial small subunit ribosomal RNA", at positions 57 to 684 of the family's 1533-position model. The record is from RNAcentral. Lineage: Bacteria; Bacillati; Bacillota; Bacilli; Lactobacillales; Lactobacillaceae.